This 468-nucleotide ribosomal RNA is filed under the name uncultured bacterium. Its description in RNAcentral is "partial 16S ribosomal RNA". It matches the Rfam family "Bacterial small subunit ribosomal RNA", at positions 28 to 507 of the family's 1533-position model. The record is from RNAcentral.
GACGAACGCUGGCGGCGUGCUUAACACAUGCAAGUCGAACGGAAAGGCCCUGCUUUUGUGGGGUGCUCGAGUGGCGAACGGGUGAGUAACACGUGAGUAACCUGCCCUUGACUUUGGGAUAACUUCAGGAAACUGGGGCUAAUACCGGAUAGGAGCUCCUGCUGCAUGGUGGGGGUUGGAAAGUUUCGUCGGUUGGGGAUGGACUCGCGCCUUAUCAGCUUGUUGGUGGGGUAGUGGCUUACCACGGCUUUGACGGGUAGCCGGCCUGGGAGGGUGACCGGCCACAUUGGGACUGAGAUACGGCCCAGACUGCUACGGGAGGCAGCGGUGGGGAAUAUUGCACAAUGGGCGGAAGCCUGAUGCAGCAACGCCGCGUGCGGGAUGACGGCCGUCGGGUUGGAAACCGCUUUCGCCUGUGACGAAGCGUGAGUGACGGUAAUGGGUAAAGAAGCACCGGCUAACUACGUG